GCCAACGUAGCUCAGGCGGUUAGAGCGGUCGUUUCAUAAGCGACAGGUCACUGGUUCAAGUCCAGUCGUUGGCACCA
Molecule: transfer RNA, 77 nt
Filed under: Patescibacteria group bacterium
Lineage: Bacteria
Also listed under: 1 other name
Description: tRNA-Met
Rfam family: tRNA
About the family: Transfer RNA (tRNA) molecules are approximately 80 nucleotides in length.
Source: RNAcentral